UUCUGGAGGUAAUACUCUUCCCCUUGCCUUAACUUUAUUGAACUUUCUCCCGUUCUCCCCCUUUGCCCUUGCCAAUGGGCUGGGCUAGCAUCGCGAUGUGUGGAGGGUACGUUUGGCGCCUCUGAAUCACGUGGCAGCAGUCUGUUGUGCCUGUGGGGAGCUGAGAGCUCGCCGCACUGGGCCCAGCUGGCAGAGCACGUGGCGGAGCCGGUCGCCCAGAGCCCAGGUAAAGCCGUGCUGGACUGGGAGGGAGGCCGGGGCAGGAUCACCAGCCCUCAGCAAUCCUGAAGCAGUCGGUGGAGCGGGCUAGUAGGGGCCAUGGGGAGCUGCUGCUGCAGCUGCGAAGAGGAUGACGUCUCUGACCCAGAGGAAGAGUGUGCACGCUUGCUGGAACCCCCCAGCGAGCCGGACGGGGCCUCCAUAUCCAACUCUUUAAAUGAUCAGGACGAAGAGGCCAUCCUCAAGUCCAUCCUGGCCAAGACUGCCAGCAGCAUUAUCGACGUGGCCGCGGCCCAGUCGCAGCGCCUGGGCCCCCACGAAUGCUUGGAUCGAGCCCGGCUGUAUCACAACCGGCUGGCCAAGCUCAAUCGGCCCUCCGUGAGCGGAGGCGUCCGGGACGGGAGCUGCGCACGGGACGGGAGCAGCUGCAGCAGAGGAACCUCUCGGGAAAGGCUACGGAGCUACUGGAAGAAGAAAGAGGCCCCGCCCGCGCCGCUUCCAACUCUUACCAACCACCCUCACCGCGUAUUGGCCGACGCGCAGGUACCCUUCGCAGACGUACAAGAGGCCAUCCACAUCGCGGAGGACGCCCAUCGCGCCAUGCAGCACGUGCGUGUUCGGCCCCAGGAGGAGCUGGUGGUGCAUUUCGAGGUCGUGUGAGCAGCGGCGGGGGCCUGGAGAGCGCGCCCCGCCUCCCAAUUCAACCUCCAGGGCCCCGGCUUCUCUUAGCUUGGGGCCCUAGCGAAGCGGUGGCGGUCGGCAGCAGACGAGCAAAGAGAGCAGAGUCGGGAGGAGGAGACUACAAGACCCGAGGAGGCCCUGGCUGCAGCGACUUCGCCUCCGAGCCGUUGACUCCCAUCGCCCCAUUUCCACUAAUCCCAGCUCCGGCCCGCUUUUUCUAGCAGAGCAUACCAACUCCUCCUCCUCUUCCCUCCCCCAUCUUCCUCCUUUCCUCUCCUCCCCCCUCUUCCUCCUUCCUUUCCUUUCCCCCUUCCCCUUCCUCUCCCCCUCUUCCUACCUUCUCCCUUUUCUCCCCUUUUCCUCCGCUUUCUCCCCUUUCUUCGCCCCUUUUCUCCCCUCCCCUUCCUCCCAAAGCUAGGUUGCCCAGCACCUGAACUCACUAAGGUGCUUAAUAAAAGUUUUCGUGCAUUGAA
Antechinus flavipes (yellow-footed antechinus) is the source of this 1373-nucleotide RNA transcript. It is a transcript of the gene named ragulator complex protein LAMTOR1-like, with no coding region annotated. The transcript is spliced from 2 exons. The record is from RefSeq and is a predicted model, not a curated record. Lineage: Eukaryota; Metazoa; Chordata; Mammalia; Dasyuromorphia; Dasyuridae.